GAUGAACGCUGGCGGCGUGCCUAAUACAUGCAAGUCGAGCGAACAGACUCGGAGCUUGUUCCUUUGUCGUUUGCGGCGGACGGGUGUGUAACGCGUGGAUAACCUCCUUCUCAGUCUGGGAUGCCUUCGGGACUGCGGCUCUAAUUCCGGAUAAUCUAUUUCCCUGUGUGGUUCAAUAGUAAAAGUCGGUUUUGCUGUUACUUAUGGAUGGUAUCGCCCCGCUUUGGCUAGUUGGGACGGUAACGGCUUACACAGGCAACGAUGCGUAGCCGACCUGGGGGGCUGAUCGGCCACACUGGAACUGAGACACGGACCAGACGCCUACGGGACGCAGCAGUAUGGAAACGGACGCAAUGGUGGGAAGCCUGACGGAACAGCGCCACGUGAGUGAUGAAGGUCUUCGGAGCGGAAAGCUCGGUUAUGAGGUAAGAACAAAUUUGAAAGUAACUAAACACUACUUGACGGUACCUAAACAGAAAGCCACGGCUAACUACGUG
Molecule: ribosomal RNA, 497 nt
Filed under: uncultured bacterium
Lineage: Bacteria
Description: partial 16S ribosomal RNA
Rfam family: Bacterial small subunit ribosomal RNA
Source: RNAcentral